RNAcentral lists this ribosomal RNA (515 nucleotides) under uncultured bacterium. RNAcentral's name for it is "partial 16S ribosomal RNA". It matches the Rfam family "Bacterial small subunit ribosomal RNA", at positions 28 to 523 of the family's 1533-position model. The record is from RNAcentral.
GAUGAACGCUGGCGGCGUGCCUAAUACAUGCAAGUCGAGCGAAUGGAUUAAGAGCUUGCUCUUAUGAAGUUAGCGGCGGACGGGUGAGUAACACGUGGGUAACCUGCCCAUAAGACUGGGAUAACUCCGGGAAACCGGGGCUAAUACCGGAUAACAUUUUGAACCGCAUGGUUCGAAAGUGAAAGGCGGCCUCGGCUGUCACUUAUGGAUGGACCCGCGUCGCAUUAGCUAGUUGGUGAGGUAACGGCUCACCAAGGCAACGAUGCGGAGCCGACCUGAGAGGGUGAUCGGCCACACUGGGACUGAGACACGGCCCAGACUCCUACGGGAGGCAGCAGUAGGGAAUCUUCCGAAAUGGACGAAAGUCUGACGGAGCAACGCCGCGUGAGUGAUGAAGGCUUUCGGGUCGUAAAACUCUGUUGUUAGGGAAGAACAAGUGCUAGUUGAAUAAGCUGACACCUUGACGGUACCUAACCAGAAAGCCACGGCUAACUACGUGCCAGCCGCCGCCGUAA